ACCGAUAUUGUAAUAAAUGCUUCUGAUGGUAGCAUAGGAGCUCAUCGCGCUGUUCUUGCUGCAAGGUCCCCUGUUUUCCGCAGCAUGUUCUCACACGACCUUAAAGAGAAAGAACUGUCGACCGUAAACAUCUCUGACAUGUCAAGUGAGGCUUGUCAAGCUCUUCUAAGUUAUAUUUACGGAAAUAUACCAAACGAAGUAUUUCUUACCCACCGUCUGGCUCUUCUCCGAGCAGCUGAUAAGUAUGACAUCUCGGAUUUGAAAGAGGCAUGCCACGAUAGUCUACUUGAAGACAUUGAUACCAAGAAUGUGCUCGAGAGACUCCAAAGCUCUUCGCUAUUUCAAUUGCCAAAAUUGAAGACCAGCUGCAUGCGGUAUCUUGUGAAGUUUGGUAAGAUAUAUGAUCUCCGAGAUGAUUUGAAUACCUUUCUGCAGUCUGCAGAUAGGGAACUUAUAGCUGAAAUCUUCCAUGAAGUUCUUGCUACCUGGAAAGGUUUCUGAAAAUUUGUGUUUAAAUUGAAAGCCGNNNNNNNNNNNNNNNNNNNNNNNNNNNNNNNNNNNNNNNNNNNNNNNNNNNNNNNNNNNNNNNNNNNNNNNNNNNNNNNNNNNNNNNNNNNNNNNNNNNNGGUUAGAAAAAUUGUAUUGUACCAAAUUUGUUGCAGUGGAAUUAUAUUCUUUUGCUGGAUUGCAAUUUGUUGUUGUACAGUACAGACUACAGAAUAUCUAUAUUGAUUUCAAUGAAAAACAAAUCUUAUUUCUUGGAUUAUUUUGGUGCUAUACUGCUGAUUUUGCAGAAAUUAGAGGAAUAUGUUGAUAAGUUGAAUGGUAUAUUGAUAUAUGUAUGAUAUAAGAAGAGUUGAGCUUCAGCAAAGUAGUCCUAUGUCACUUACAAACUCAUGCAUUAAAAGAGCUUUGUAGUAUUAAUAAAGCAAAGCUUGUACCAAAAACAACAACACUGAAGCACUAAAUCAUAAAUCUACCCGGAAUGUCUUGAAUGUUUUCAUAACUUGAGAAUAUUUCUGCCCAUUGACAUAUUUCAAAAUCUAAACAUGAUGAACAUAGAGUGAGCUCAUGUCCACACCAAAAUUUACUCUCCUUCCCACAAAAAUAGUUUCAUUCGAGUUUGGUAUAUUAAUUAAUUUACAAAAACAUAAAAUUUGAAUUGUGAUAUACAUUUAUUUUGAUUUUUAAAAUAACAAUUUUGUGCUUGCAAUACUUUCAAAGAAGUUUUCUGUAUUAAUUAUUACGUCAUUCAAAAACGAAUAAAUUCACAUCUAUUUCAAAUUCAAGAUUUCACAAAUUUUGUUUUUUUGCCUAAUUUUUCAGGCUUCCAAGCUUUAGCCUGCUCAGGCUAAAGCCCAGUCCAGGCUUAAGCCGGACCUGUUCAGGCUCCAGGCUAGUACAGGCCUUGUGUUAGGUUAACCAGGUCUGUCCUUGGUAGGGGUGUUCAAAACAACCGUUUUUUUUUGUUUUUCGGUUUUUUCGGACCGAAUCGGUCGGUUCGGUAUAAAAAAGAACCGGUCCGAUUCGGUACAAAAAACCGGUAUAUACCGAUUUUUCGGUACCGGUUUCGGUCCGACGUUUGUAUGGUUCGGUUUUACUGGACCGGUAUAUACCGGUUUUCUAAUUUUUUAUUAAUAAUAAUAAAAUAAUGAUUAUAAUAAUAAAAAUAAUAAUAAUAUUAAUAAAAAUAAUAAUACUAUUAUUAAAAUAAUAAUAAUAAUAAUAAUAAUAAUAAAAUAAUGAUUAUAAUAAUUAAAAUAAUAAAAUAAAAAUAAAAUUAUAUUAAUUUUCGGUAAAAACCGGUACCGAACCGAUACCGCCGGUUCGGUAUACCGGUUUAACCGGUACCGAUAUCGGUUCAUGAAAUUGACUACUAUCGGUAUUCGAUUCGAACCAAUCCGAUUCAGUUUUUUACCGAUGAACACCCCUAGUCUUUGGGGGAGGAAAAAGGGAUUGUUUAGGUUGAUUCAGAUCCAGGCCGCCUCUACUAUUGAGUAUUGGUUUCACAAAAGACUGGUUUUCUUAUACUCUUUUGCUUCUUUUACCCAACACCAAAAGGAAAAUUAUAUAUGUUUUGAUUUUAUGCAGAUUUUUUGUUGCGAGUUAAGUACACAACUAUAUUUUGGUAAUAUUUUAACGACGCAUUUGAUAUAGUGGGUCAACUUUAUAAUUAUAUCCAAUUUUAUGUAUUAAUAUACAUCACUGUUGGGAUAUUUCACAUAAAUUUCACAUCAUAUAAAUUCAAGAAUAUAGAUGGUUUAAUAAGGAUCCGGUUACCAUGAAGUUAACUUCAUGGUAAGUUGAUCAAUUGACCAAUACAGUGCUGACACGCAGAGAAAGAGAUCACCUCCCGCUUGCGUGUCAACAUUAUAUUGGUCAAUUAAGUAUCAAAGUUUAUGGUUCGUUGGGCCCAAGUAUCAAGUUGACACUUCAAGCUGAAAAAGUUGCUCAAGAUGAAGGGUUCACAAGAGUCGAGCAGAGCUCUUGAAGGACUCAAAGAAGGUGUGUCUCAACCUAAUAGGUUAACCUUUUAGUUAAGGAGAUAGUUCAACAUACCAGUUGUGGGGAUAAUCAGGAAAGCCCGCGCGUUGCGUGUUCAUACACAAGGCACCAACAUACAUAAAUGGAUCCAAGAACUAUUAGACAUGCACUAAAAACAUACUUAGAGAGCAUUUAGUUUGUAACGAAAUGGAUCUCCGAGCUAAGCAGCUUAUGAAUUUCUCUUUCCAGGUUCACUUGUGUACACGUUCUUACAUUUGUAUGGUUAUAAAAUUACAUAAAAUUUAAUUUUUUUUUCAAAUGUUAAUACGGUGACAGGCUAAUAAUAAUAAUAAUAAUAAUAUAAUUAAUUACAUAUUAUAUUAAUAGCAUUUGACUCAAACUAAUGAUUCUGUAAAUGUUAAUAAGUAAAAUAAAAACCUUACCUAGUUGAAAUUCCGCCUCUUCUCUCUCUUGUCUUCUCCAAUAUCUCAACCUUCUUGGGAAGAAAAGAAAAAGUGAAGAGAUUCUCUGCUGGGGGUGGGG
RNAcentral lists this long non-coding RNA (3027 nucleotides) under Panax ginseng (ginseng). RNAcentral's name for it is "long non-coding RNA (PGIN_LNC017520)". The record is from RNAcentral. Lineage: Eukaryota; Viridiplantae; Streptophyta; Magnoliopsida; Apiales; Araliaceae.